Molecule: unclassified non-coding RNA, 333 nt
Filed under: uncultured Glomeraceae
Lineage: Eukaryota; Fungi; Glomeromycota; Glomeromycetes; Glomerales; Glomeraceae
Description: sequence contains 18S rRNA gene
Source: RNAcentral
CCCAACUAUCCCUAUUAAUCAUUACAUCGAUCCUAGAAACCAACAAAAUAGAAUCGGAUGUCCUAUUUCAUUAUUCCAUGCUAAUGUAUUCAAGCGUUGGCCUGCUUUAAACACUCUAAUUUUUUCAAGGUAACAGUCCUAAUUCCCCACAACAUCAACCGAAUGACAUCAUGGUUCCUUAGAAGGUGAGGACCAAUGGGAUCAGUACAUACCGAGGGCAUGACCGACCCAUCGAUCCCGAAAUUCAACUACGAGCUUUUUAACUGCAACAACUUUAAUAUACGCUAUUGGAGCUGGAAUUACCGCGGCUGCUGGCACCAGACUUGCCCUCCA